Molecule: ribosomal RNA, 304 nt
Filed under: uncultured bacterium
Lineage: Bacteria
Description: partial 16S ribosomal RNA
Rfam family: Bacterial small subunit ribosomal RNA
Source: RNAcentral
CAGCAGCAGCCGCGGUAAUACGGAGGGUGCAAGCGUUAAUCGGAAUUACUGGGCGUAAAGCGCACGCAGGCGGUCUGACAAGUCAGAUGUGAAAUCCCCGGGCUUAACCUGGGAACUGCAUUUGAAACUGUCAGGCUGGAGUCUUGUAGAGGGGGGUGGAAUUCCAGGUGUAGCGGUGAAAUGCGUAGAGAUCUGGAGGAAUACCGGUGGCGAAGGCGGCCCCCUGGACAAAGACUGACGCUCAGGUGCGAAAGCGUGGGGAGCAAACAGGAUUAGAUACCCGCGUAGUCCCUGUCUCUUAUAC